GCCCUGCUGCUAUCUCUAGCCCUUCACACACAGGCUGGGUUUUUUUUUUCUUUUGGGAGUUUCUGGGAGAUGAGCAGGUCACUGACCACCAUGUGACUGUUAUCCUGAUGGAAGGCUAUAAUCAUACAUAGGAAGAGGCCAGGCAAGUGGUGGCCCGAGUUCCUGGGGCAAGGACAGUGUUCUCCUCCUCAAGGGAGAACGUUGGUCUUGCUUCCUGAAAACCAGAGUCCAGUCCACAGCCACACCUAGGAGGGAGCAGAGUAUCCAAGCUCACCAUCUAAGCAUGUUCCCAUGAGAGGGAGACACUAUGACACCUGUGCUUCGCCUUCGAUGCGUUAAGUGAAAGACGAUCCAGUGAGAGACAAGCGUGUCAGGGUUUUAGAGUCCUGGUGCCGCAGCUGGGACAGCCCAUGGAACCGUUGCAAUCCUCCUGAGGACACAGUCACUCGUGCUCCUGAAGGCUUGUCACCAGCAUUGACAUUUGAGGGACAGACCCCUCUGGAUCUAACAAGAAUGUGUGGCAUGAUGGGAAAUAGAGCUUUGAGGUCAACCUGAACUCACCAGAAUGUUGGUUAGUUACCAGAACCAUACAGAGAACACUGCUCUUGGAUCAGUGGAUGCAGAAACUCACGACCCUGGCAAGUCAAGGUUAUAACUUAAAUUGAUGUGCUUCCUCCAAGCAAGGCUCCAGCUCCUACCAACUCCAUAAACUUCCAAACAGCAGCACCCUAGGCAGACGCCGUGCUUGAACACCUGAUCCUACAGGGAGAGUCUUCCUUUAAACCACCACACGAAAUUGACGAGAAGAUAGGAUCCGGAAUACCUGGACCAUAUUAGGAACUCCUGUGAUGAGCCAAUCUCAAAGCUCUGCAGGUCACAUCAAGUGAGUCUAAGAAAUGCCAACAGACGGAGGUUUAGAAACAGACUACCACAGACAGAGAAGCCAGCAUGGUAACAGCUCUGAAGACACACUCACAACCAUUGCUGAGAAAGCAUCAACUUUAGAGUGAAAUGUCACUUAUACACAAUAGGAUCCACACGAAAUAUAGAAAGAUGUAUAAUGCCAAGCCAUGACUAAGCUGUGGAGAAGGAACCUCCCACUCACUCUCUGAAAGCAGCAGGUGCUUUUCUAUUCACCUCAACAUGCUGAACUCAGGACUUGUCAAGAAUUCCCAUGUGGACUGCUCCAUGAAACAUCCUGGCUCUUCCAUCCCUUUGCGUUCCCCAGUGAGAUGCGGAUGUCUUUCAACAGAUUACCUCCAUGGUUCAGGAUUCGAAGACUGCUUUUCUUCUACUUCACGUUAGACUCAACACAGAAAAGCCCUGAGGAUGCAGCUGUCCUGUUGACUUCAGGAAGAAAAUAAACAACUGACUUGGG
Molecule: long non-coding RNA, 1378 nt
Organism: Mastomys coucha (southern multimammate mouse)
Lineage: Eukaryota; Metazoa; Chordata; Mammalia; Rodentia; Muridae
Exons: 7
Source: RefSeq, a predicted model, not a curated record